AGUGUUCUGUACUCCCUCCCUGCCUCCCUCCCUGCCACUAGCUGGCUCCUCCAGUCCGCUGCCGGUACCGUGCAGGUCUACGCGGUCGCUGAAGCAGCAGCUCGACGCGGCGCGGCUGGCCCUCUCAUCCUCACUCCCCCUGCCGGCGGAAGAGAGAGGCUUGCGGCACCGGGCGGAGGAGGAGACGAGCUCGACGUCGGUCGCUGGUGCCGUGGACUGGGGUGGAGACAGAGGAAGAGGUGUUGGUGGUCGGUACCUUCCAGAGAAGAAGCAGUUCUGGUGGCACACGUAGAAGGGCCGUGCGGCGAGUUACACGUAGAAGUGCCGCGCGGCGACGAGACUGCGGUACCUCGCGGGGGUUAGAGGGAGAGAGAGUACGAGACCGACAGUUCCGGCAGGUCGGCAAAAGUUCCCCAAAACAAAUCCUGUCGGUGCUUCGUGUUUCUUGUUUGUACGAUAAAUUCGUUCUCCCAAAAGCACCCCAAAAACAAAUCCUGUCGGUACCUCGUCUUUGUUGUUUGUACAAUGAAGUCGUUCUCCCUCUCAUUACUAGGACUACUAUGAGAAUGGUAAAACAAUGGUUUUACACACAGGACAGUCACGAACGACCUACGACGGAUCAGGAUGACCCAUGAUAUCGAUUAAGAAACGCAUAGAAGUGUUGAAAGUUCUCGAGAAAUCAGGACGUUUUUGUUCCAAAACUACAGAGGGAAUGUGUUUUAUAAGUAUAACCAGGACGUACUACGCACACGCGUACUACCUACCAGUGCAUGAUGACAUGAACGAUCCAUUAUUCGAACAAAACGAUGACUAACUUACCGCAGAGUCAAACAUGGAGUGGCUCGAGCGGCGGAUUUUAACGAUGCCCUAUCCGUGACAAACCAACGUGAUCUGGACGCCUCCCCAAAUAGACCAAGAAUACCAGACGACGUACGGACCUCCACAGAGACCGUGUCGACACGGAGAACUCCGCUGGAGGAGAUGGCGCCACCAACACACGCCGUAGUCGAUGUUGGAGAGGCCAUGGUUUAACCGUAGGCAAUACGACCGUAACGUGCGUACCGCAACCGGGAGAGGAACUUCAAGUCACGACAUGGUUAGCAGCACGGUCAGACCCAAACUCUAAGACUAUAGCUACACCUCGACACCCAAUUUGAUUCCAAAUAAACCUGUCUUGGCACGCACCCCCUCGGCACAGAACCGUAAACACAGUGAAGGCUUCUAUUUCAAUCUCGACAGCGACAAGGCCGAAAAAAUACCGUUAAGGAGAAGACAGUUAUAAAGAGUGCUUUGAAGAUUGCCUUCUAGACCGGCGCAGAGAGACAGGCCGGGUUUUUCUAACAGGAAACCGCCGAGGAGAACCAGCGGAGGGCACGAAUUUGCGUGCCUAGGCGGAGGACCUACCACGAGGACGCGGACCACUAGUACCCCACGUACGCGGAGGAAACCACCGAAGGAGGUAGCGCACUGACACCGCCAACACGUCCCGUAGUCGGUGUUUGAUUAGACCAAGGUACAGUACCUUACCUACCUACUACCACUCGCUGGUGGUUACCUAGACCGGCUUAUGUUAUGCGGAACGGCCAGAUCUCUCAGGAACCUCUAGAACGCUCCUCCACCGGGUUAACCAACUUCCGUCCCCCCUUGAGCGAACUGCACAGAGUCGUUAGUUGUCUAUCUUGAACACGACAGAUGUGUCCAACUUUAUGUUCCUCCGGAUCCGGUCGCUUAGAACUUCUAUUGUCUAUCCGCAAAAGCACAAAAAGAAAAGGCAGCCCCUCAACACUUUUUAACCUACCUUACCACUAUAUACAACUUUCCAGAGCAGAGUCCCUCCCUAACGAUGACGAUGUAUGUAUCACAACAUUUUAAACCUAACAAAAAAACCAGUCACGUACAGUUCUCUAACCUGACCAACUUACUUAGUUUACCAAUUGAGAGGUACUUACUCCCUUACGUACUUACGGUCGAGCAAGUAAGUAAAUGGC
RNAcentral lists this ribosomal RNA (1988 nucleotides) under Triticum aestivum (bread wheat). RNAcentral describes it as "partial small subunit ribosomal RNA". The record is from RNAcentral. Lineage: Eukaryota; Viridiplantae; Streptophyta; Magnoliopsida; Poales; Poaceae.